CUGGGUGGAAAGAGAGGCAGCGGCUGAGGCAGGGAGAGGCCAAGAGUGCGCGCUGGCUCCAAGGGCCAGGACACCUUGGCGGCUGCCAGGUAGGUCACUGCGCUGGUUGGGGCGCUGAGCACGGGACCGGCCGGCUUCAGCCACGUCCAGGCCCCGGCUGGCCACCAGGUGAGCGCUCCCGAGCGCUCCCAACGCGUCGCGGGCGGCCGUGCGUCCACCAGGCCAAGUACAGGUCAUGGAGCGGCGCCCGGGGGGCGGCACGGACCCUAGGGGAAGCAAAGGAGGCGGUGGCGGUCCCCAGCCCGAGGAUGCCAGCGCCAGACAGUUCCUGGCGCGGCUGAAAGCUCGCCCCUGGCGGCCUGAGCUGCGGCCGACGUGGCGGCGCUGGUACGCAGGGCCGGCGCCACCUUGCGCCUGCGCCCCAAGGAGGCCCUUAGAAUACCAGAAGGACAAUGACAUCAUGGAUUUGUCCCAAGAUGCCCUGCCUCCUAGGAAGAGUUCCUGGCAUGUCAAGUACAGUCGGUUUUAAAAGCCUUGCGUUGUACUUUCCUGGUCGUGCAGUGGCUAAUGUUCAAGGCUCCCAAUGUAGGGGCCAGGUUCAGUUACCUUGAAAUUGGAUCCUAAGUAACUAAGACCUUGCACAGCCAAAUAAAUAAGUAUUAAAAAAUACACGUGUAAUUUUGGGAAGCUUGAACCAUCCAUCUUGCCAAGAUUUCCUUCAUGAAUCUUGGGUUCUUGGGUUGGGAGAGAGGGUGGAAGAGAAGGAUGGGAGCUGCAGGAGAGCAUUGAACAGGGCCAUGCUGAGAAUCCAGCACAAGCCUUGAGUCAAUAUUGGAUGUCUCUCCAUUUAUUUAGGUCUUCUUUAAUUUCUUUCAACAAUGUUUUGCAUUUCCUAGAGUACAAUUUUAUGCUUCUUUGUUAAUUUUGUUUGAAAGUAUUUUUAUUAUUUUCAGGCUGUUGUGAAUGGAGUUUUUUUUUUAUUUCAUUCUUGUCUAUAGAAAUACAAUUGAUUUUUGUAGUUUAAUUUUCUAUCCUGU
RNAcentral lists this long non-coding RNA (1037 nucleotides) under Bos grunniens (domestic yak). RNAcentral's name for it is "lncRNA (ENSBGRG00000020888.1)". Lineage: Eukaryota; Metazoa; Chordata; Mammalia; Artiodactyla; Bovidae. The record is from RNAcentral.